CCUACGGGAGGCAGCAGUAGGGAAUAUUGCUCAAUGGGGGAAACUCUGAAGCAGCAACGCCGCGUGGAGGAUGAAGGUUUUCGGAUUGUAAACUCCUUUUGUUAGAGAAGAUAAUGACGGUAUCUAACGAAUAAGCACCGGCUAACUACGUGCCAGCAGCCGCGGUAAUACGGAGGGUGCAAGCGUUACUCGGAAUCACUGGGCGUAAAGAGCGCGUAGGCGGGAUAGCAAGUCAGAUGUGAAAUCCUAUGGCUUAACCAAAGAACUGCAUUUGAAACUGUUAUUCUAGAGUAUGGGAGAGGUAAGUGGAAUUCUUGGUGUAGGGGUAAAAUCCGUAGAGAUCAAGAGGAAUACUCAUGGCGAAGGCGACCUGCUAGAACAUAACUGACGCUGAUGCGCGAAAGCGUGGGGAGCAAACAGGAUUAGAUACCCGAGUAGUC
This 440-nucleotide ribosomal RNA is filed under the name uncultured bacterium. RNAcentral describes it as "partial 16S ribosomal RNA". It matches the Rfam family "Bacterial small subunit ribosomal RNA", at positions 338 to 795 of the family's 1533-position model. The record is from RNAcentral.